This is a non-coding RNA of Sorex fumeus (smoky shrew), 404 nucleotides long. Lineage: Eukaryota; Metazoa; Chordata; Mammalia; Eulipotyphla; Soricidae. The record is from the annotation of a RefSeq genome assembly.
CACCCACACCUUCAGAAGCCCCUCAGUGCAUGGUCCUCACCAUGGACUGGACCUGGAGAAUUAUCUUCCUGGUGGCAAUGGCUGCAGGUGUGAACUCCCAGGUACAGCUGGUGCAGUCAGGGCCUGAGGUGGGAACACCUGGGACAUCAGUGAAAAUCUCCUGCAAGGCGUCCGGAUACACCUUCAUCAGCGGCAUGAUAAGAUGGGUGCGGCAGGCCCCAGGACAAGGGCUCAAGUGGAUGGGAUGGAUAAAUCCUAGCAAUGGUGGUACAGAUUAUGCACAAAAGUUCCAGAGCAGACUCACACUCACUGUUGACAAGUCUAAGGACACAGCCUACAUGGAACUGAGCAGGUUGAGCACUGAAGACAUGGCGGUGUAUUACUGUGCAAGACACACAGAGUGA